This 261-nucleotide ribosomal RNA is filed under the name uncultured bacterium. RNAcentral describes it as "partial 16S ribosomal RNA". It matches the Rfam family "Bacterial small subunit ribosomal RNA", at positions 110 to 353 of the family's 1533-position model. The record is from RNAcentral.
GUAACACGUAAACAACCUGCCUUCAGGAUGGGGACAACAGACGGAAACGACUGCUAAUACCGAAUAAGUUCCAAGAGCCGCAUGGCCCAUGGAAGAAAAGGUGGCCUCUACCUGUAAGCUAUCGCCUGAAGAGGGGUUUGCGUCUGAUUAGCUGGUUGGAGGGGUAACGGCCCACCAAGGCGACGAUCAGUAGCCGGUCUNAGAGGAUGAACGGCCACACUGGAACUGAGACACGGUCCAGACUCCUACGGAGGCAGCAUG